Molecule: ribosomal RNA, 793 nt
Filed under: uncultured archaeon
Lineage: Archaea
Description: bacterial SSU rRNA
Rfam family: Archaeal small subunit ribosomal RNA
Source: RNAcentral
ACUGCUCAGUAACACGUGGACAACCUGCCCUUAGGUUGGGUAUAAACCCGGGAAACUGGGUAUAAUACCCGAUAGGUCUCGAUUGCUGGAAUGCAUCGAGAUUUAAAGCUCCGGCGCCUAAGGAUGGGUCUGCGGCCUAUCAGGUAGUAGUGGGUGUAGCGUACCUACUAGCCUACGACGGGUACGGGUUGUGAGAGCAAGAGCCCGGAGAUGGAUUCUGAGACACGAAUCCAGGCCCUACGGGGUGCAGCAGGCGCGAAAACUUUACAAUGCUGGCAACAGCGAUAAGGGAACCUCGAGUGCCAGGUUACAAAUCUGGCUGUCGAGAUGCCUAAAAAGCGUUUCAUAGCAAGGGCCGGGCAAGACCGGUGCCAGCCGCCGCGGUAACACCGGCGGCUCGAGUGGUAACCGUUAUUAUUGGGUCUAAAGGGUCUGUAGCCGGCCGGAUAAGUCUCUUGAGAAAUCUGGCAGCUUAACUGUCAGGCUUUCAGGAGAUACUGUCUGGCUCGAGGCCGGGAGAGGUGAGAGGUACUUCAGGGGUAGGGGUGAAAUCUUGUAAUCCUUGAAGGACCACCAGUGGCGAAGGCGUCUCACCAGAACGGACCUGACGGCAAGGGACGAAAGCUAGGGGCACGAACCGGAUUAGAUACCCGGGUAGUCCUAGCCGUAAACGAUACUCGCUAGGUGUCGGCCACGGUGCGACCGUUGUCGGUGCCGUAGGGAAGCCGUGAAGCGAGCCACCUGGGAAGUACGGCCGCAAGGCUGAAACUUAAAGGAAUUGGCGGGGGAGCAC